GCGCUCGUGGUGUAAUGGACAGCACAACAGUCUACGGAACUGUUAGAGGGGGUUCGAAUCCCUCCGGGCGUAC
RNAcentral lists this transfer RNA (73 nucleotides) under Streptomyces phage BRock. RNAcentral's name for it is "tRNA-Arg". It matches the Rfam family "tRNA". From Rfam's summary of the family: Transfer RNA (tRNA) molecules are approximately 80 nucleotides in length. Their secondary structure includes four short double-helical elements and three loops (D, anti-codon, and T loops). Lineage: Duplodnaviria; Heunggongvirae; Uroviricota; Caudoviricetes. The record is from RNAcentral.